RNAcentral lists this ribosomal RNA (468 nucleotides) under uncultured bacterium. Its description in RNAcentral is "partial 16S ribosomal RNA". It matches the Rfam family "Bacterial small subunit ribosomal RNA", at positions 28 to 507 of the family's 1533-position model. The record is from RNAcentral.
GACGAACGCUGGCGGCGUGCUUAACACAUGCAAGUCGAACGGAAAGGCGCGGCUUUUGUGGGGUGCUCGUGUGGCGAACGGGGGAGUAACACGUGAGUAACCCGCCCUUGACUGUGGGAUAACUUCAGGAAACUGGGGCUAUUAUCGGAGAGGAGCUCCUGCUGCAUGGGGGUGGUUGGAAAGUUUCGGCGGUUGGGGCUAGACUCGCGGGUUAUCAGCUUGUUGGUGGGGUAGUGGCGUACCAAGGCUUCGACGGGUAGCCGGCCUGGGAGGGUUAACGGCCACAAUGGGACUGAGAUACGGACCAGAAUCCUACGGGCGGCAGCAGUGGAGAAUAUUGCAGAACGGGCGGAAGCGUGAUGCAGCAACGCCGCGUGCGGGAUGACGGCCUUCGGGUUGUAAACCGCUUUCGCCUGUGACGAAGCGUGAGUGACGGUAAUGGGUAAAGAAGCACCGGCUAACUACGUG